This 395-nucleotide unclassified non-coding RNA is filed under the name uncultured fungus. Its description in RNAcentral is "sequence contains ITS1". The record is from RNAcentral. Lineage: Eukaryota; Fungi.
AGGUAAUAACCCAGCGACUAGAGCCCGCUCGUCUUUGGCGAUCAUGAAACGCAUAAUGUAAUGACCAUUCACCACGGGCAAUGCAGCCAUUGCGAUGCCGACCGACACGAGCGUUUCGAACGAAAAAUAACCCGCUGGGCCAGGGACCGACAUGUGCGCGGCCAAUCCGGGCGCGCGAGUUGAAGUCUGCGAAUUGAUGCCCAGAGAAGUGAGGUAUGCUGCAAUGAUCACUAAUCCCACAAUCAUAGCGGCCGCCUGCCAUAGGUCUGUCUUUACAUCGCCUUCCAUCCCGGCAAUGAGCGUAUAGAUCACGAAGGCGGCAAUCAUGAUUACAACGGACGCUGAAUAGUUCAUGCCGAACAUGCCCUCCAAGAGACGGCCAAUUGCAACGACUU